GACGAACGCUGGCGGCGUGCUUAACACAUGCAAGUCGAACGAUGAAGCCGGAGCUUGCUCCGGUGGAUUAGUGGCGAACGGGUGAGUAACACGUGAGCAAUCUGCCCUUGACUCUGGGAUAACUGCGGGAAACUGUAGCUAAUACCGGAUACGACACCUUGGGGCAUCCCAGGGUGUGGAAAGAAUUUCGGUCAAGGAUGAGCUCGCGGCCUAUCAGCUAGUUGGUGAGGUAAUGGCUCACCAAGGCGACGACGGGUAGCCGGCCUGAGAGGGGGACCGGCCACACUGGAACGGAGACACGGGCCAGACUCCUACGGGAGGCAGCAGUGGGGAAUAUUGCACAAGGGGCGAAAGCCUGAUGCAGCAACGCCGCGUGAGGGAUGAAGGCCUUCGGGUUGUAAACCUCUUUUAGCAGGGAUGAAGCGAAAGUGACGGUACCUGCAGAAAAAGCACCGGCUAACUACGUGCCAGCCGCCGCCGUAA
RNAcentral lists this ribosomal RNA (483 nucleotides) under uncultured bacterium. RNAcentral's name for it is "partial 16S ribosomal RNA". It matches the Rfam family "Bacterial small subunit ribosomal RNA", at positions 28 to 523 of the family's 1533-position model. The record is from RNAcentral.